RNAcentral lists this ribosomal RNA (270 nucleotides) under uncultured prokaryote. RNAcentral describes it as "partial 16S ribosomal RNA". It matches the Rfam family "Bacterial small subunit ribosomal RNA", at positions 524 to 794 of the family's 1533-position model. The record is from RNAcentral.
UACGUAUGGGGCAAGCGUUAUCCGGAAUUAUUGGGCGUAAAGAGUGCGUAGGUGGUUACCUAAGCGCAAGGUUUAAUCUUGAGGCUCAACCUCAUUCUGCCUUGCGAACUGGGCUACUUGAGUGCAGGAGGGGAAAGCGGAAUUCCCAGUGUAGCGGUGAAAUGCGUAGAUAUUGGGAAGAACACCGGUGGCGAAGGCGGCUUUCUGGCUGACAACUGACGCUGAGGCGCGAAAGCGUGGGGAGCAAACAGGAUUAGAUACCCGCGUAGU